UGGGGAAUAUUGCACAAUGGGCGCAAGCCUGAUGCAGCCAUGCCGCGUGUAUGAAGAAGGCCUUCGGGUUGUAAAGUACUUUCAGCGGGGAGGAAGGGAGUAAAGUUAAUACCUUUGCUCAUUGACGUUACCCGCAGAAGAAGCACCGGCUAACUCCGUGCCAGCAGCCGCGGUAAUACGGAGGGUGCAAGCGUUAAUCGGAAUUACUGGGCGUAAAGCGCACGAAGGCGGUUUGUUAAGUUAGAUGUGAAAUCCCCGGGCUCAACCUGGGAACUGCAUCUGAUACUGGCAAGCUUGAGUCUCGUAGAGGGGGGUAGAAUUCCAGGUGUAGCGGUGAAAUGCGUAGAGAUCUGGAGGAAUACCGGUGGCGAAGGCGG
Molecule: ribosomal RNA, 377 nt
Filed under: uncultured bacterium
Lineage: Bacteria
Description: partial 16S ribosomal RNA
Rfam family: Bacterial small subunit ribosomal RNA
Source: RNAcentral